Long non-coding RNA from Strongylocentrotus purpuratus (purple sea urchin), 3583 nucleotides. RefSeq lists it as uncharacterized. The transcript has 3 exons. Lineage: Eukaryota; Metazoa; Echinodermata; Echinoidea; Camarodonta; Strongylocentrotidae. The record is from RefSeq and is a predicted model, not a curated record.
AUGUAGGGCCGUGCAUCUCAGAUUUAACAUUGUUAAACGAUGCCUUUAAAGAUAAAAUACUUAGUGAUAAGCAUUGUAAUAAUAUAAUUGUGCGCGGCUUAUGACUGCUUAUAACUGCCAAUUGAGGCCUCCCAAAUAAUAGGGAACAGUAGGGUCAAAUAUUUAGUCAAGUAUUUUAUCUAAUUAAAAAACUGAGUAUUCAUAUUUCUGACAUAGUACUGAAUUGAAUAUAGCCCCAGAUCAUCAAGAUAAUAAUAAUAAUAAUAAUAAUAUUAUUUAAUUUGUAUAUAGCGCUUAAUACAAAUGUCUCUAAGCGCUUUACAAAUAUACUAUUACCCCUGUCGUUGGAUUCAGUGCUUGCCCGCACACAAUGUGAUCAGAAGAUCUGGCUCGAGGUCAUGAAGCAGAAGCCAUCACACAUCUCCCAGAUGACGUGGAAGGCUUAGGUCAAGGUCAUCAAACCCAUUUCAGCUAUGAUGAGCACGUCAAUUAAUGAUGUACUUAUGACAAGUUGUUUCUAAAUUUAAUUUCAUUUGACCUUCCACUUUCAAAUAGUCUACAUAUAUUGAUGAUAAAUCACAUCUUUACCAGAGAUCAUGCACAAACAACUAGGCCCGUCAACACAGUGGGUUAGACGUAGGUUAUAAUCAACAAUAUAUACAAUAUAUAUAACAUGUAAAGUAAAUUAAGUUAAAUGAAAUAAAAUCAAAUAAAAACAAAUAAAUCAAAUACAACCAAAUGACAAAGUACAUAAAAGCAAAUGAAUUGUAUAAUGAAGAAGCUACAGCUUGAUUUUAUUUAAUCUCGGGUAUUUCAAUGCAAAACUGUGCAUGUAUAUUCCGCUUAAAAAUGGUAGUAAAGAAAUUUUUUGGAAGUUGGCGGGAAACUACACUAUUUUCCUUAAAGUAAGGUAAAUCAGUUUAGAAAUGAUGACAUAAUAUUCCAGAUAAUUCUGGAAAAUAAGAACUGUUCAAACAAAUCCAGCAUAUUUCUUGUUUGAAUGAAAUGUGGAACAAAAUCUUAUAAAUACAGUUGAGAUGGGACAAUAUAAUAUCUGAAUGUAUAAAUUAAUGUAACUAUUAUUUUAUGAUCUUGAAAUUGCAUGACAUGUUAAUAUUUAAUAAAAAGGUAACAAUUUCUUGUUGACGUCUUGUUCAGACAUUUUUUUCUUCUCUUUCAAGGAUAAUAACUUAUGGAAAACCUGUGAACAAUACAUGUACAAUACUACAUGUAGGACAUUUAGGAAACUAUUCAAGCAACAAUCCAAACAGCCAACUUUAUUGAUUUUAUUUUUUCUUUAGACAUUAUGUUUUCUAUUAUAUUUUCAGAAUAGUUAUUUUGUGUAUGGAACUGAUUUGCUGGUUGGUUUCGGCCUAGAGCUGAUGACCUGGUUUCUUGUACUUGAAGAUGGGACAAAGCCCUCUCCACACUGAACAGAUGGAUGCUCUAGAGCUGUGCAGAUCCAAGGCCAAUACUGGUGCUAAUAUUUUGCAUUCAAUGCAAAACCGCCUUUCAAAGGCAUACAAAUAAAAACAAGAAAGAAUUGAUUGAUAACUCUUGUGUGCAUGUUUUGUCUUUGUGUGCUUAAUGUCCCUCUAAAAACAUUGAAAUAUUACAUGUACAUGCAUAUCAUUUAAUUAACAAAUAUAUUGAGAAUUAAAGAAUUCUAAAAACAGGCCUACAUAUUACAAACAGGCCUGCAUAUUUUUUUUUCAAACAGCAAAAUGGCAGAAUCCUUCAGGGAUGUCCAUUAAACAAAUGGAUAUAUGCUGGAUUUGUGGGGUAAAGAUGACCAUAAAUCAAUCACGGAUUUAGCAACAUUUCUGGAGAUCACAGAAGGCAGCUUAGAUGACUGAAGGGAGAAAUACCAGAUUAUCAGGAAGAGCUGUAAUCGAACAGGAAGUCUCAAAAAGAUCAAGACAUUCCUCGAAAGAAGACUACAAAGUGGCAUUGAAAAAGAUAGGUGAAGAAAACUCUGGUAAAAGUACAGCAAAUAAAGCUUACAAGAACUGUGCGAGUACGAUCAAUGCCAACCGGGAGAUGAUCAGUCAAAAACGCAAACGACAACUACAUGAGCAGGAAUUUCAAAUCGUUGUACAUCUCAGAGAAAGUGAACAUAAAAUUAGUCGAGAGAAAAUAUGUAAAGUACACAAAUCCACUGGAUCCACUUACCACAGGGAAGCAAGAGAAGAACAAAGGGAUGUUUAGUGGAUCUGAUGAAGAUAUCAUCAAAUUGCAAGACAAGGUGUCAGAACUUGAAGCAAAGCUUGCAGUGCAAGAAUCAACCAUGCGCACAAAAGAAGGACAACGCUUCAAUCCAAAGAUUUGUGAAAUCUGCUACUACUUCCAGGUCUGUUUGGUUCCUUUUUCCUUAAUCACAAAAGCCAGCCUCGGCUUCUACAAAUCUAAAAACAAAAAUAAUCAAUAUGGAAGCAUGUUUUUAUCAAACUGCACUUAAAAAAACACGAAACCUACGAAAAGGCACAUCUGAACAGCCAGUAAAACCGUUUUUUAUCCAAGUUUUUUUUAGGAUUAAUUUUUAUGAUCAACUUAAAAAACUUUCUUUACAAAACUUGGGGGUUGCAGAUAGCAACGUUAGCGAGGCGAUCGGAUUAGUUUCUGAAUGUCUGCAUGUAAGUGUUGUAAAUUGGAAUUUAUGUUGUAAAUUAAAUAGGAAUUAUGUGGUGCAAAGAUGCCCCCCUUGCUUCUUCAGUCAAUGACAAAUUGUUUCCCCUCUAGAGGGAUUCCCAUUGUAUUGUUUCCCCUCUAGAGGGAUUCCCAUUGUACUGUUUCCCGCCUUUUUUUUGGGUAUCUCUAUUGAACUCUUUGCAUGAGUGGAUUUCUUUUGUGUGAUUGCUAGCAUUGGUGCAUGCUAUAGCAGGCAGGCAGCCAUUCUAAGCUAUGUGAUAGGACUGCAAGCACUUGUACAUUUGGCCUGCUGUAGGAGGAAAUGUGAUCAGACUUUGUUUAAAGUCUGCUGUAUUUCUACGAGCUGUGGAUAUGAUACUUGGUAGCAUGCAUACCGUCACUGUUGUUUAGCGUUUUGGCUAGUAUUGGCCGAGGCUGUUUAACGAAGAGAAAACAAUAAAGUACAGACUCUACUUCACUGACUACGGAUGCAUUAUUUGGUCGUCAUGAUCUCGAACCCUUUCAUUAGAAAGGUAGGUUGUCUUCGUUCCAAAUCAACUCAGGGGUGAAUUGCUUCUGAAAUGAAGGUCAUCAGUAGGAAGCAAAUGCAAGAGGAUAUUGAAGAGGAGGUUGCUCUGCUCACAUUGAAGUAUGAUGGCACGACGAAGGAACGUUUAGGCCACUUGGCGGAAGUAGAUGUUGCUACAUCUUCCAAGAUCCACGUGACACGCAUCCAUCAGCAAGUGGGAGGAAGUGCUGAGGAGUGUGUAGAGUCUAUCAAAAACAGCUAUGACGACAUAAAUACGGGACUGCUACAGAACAAAUAUGGCAAAAGAUAGGAGUGUAGAAAAGCUGACAGGCACAAAAGUGAACUCCUUCCGAUGUGCCAUGUAUCCACUGGACACAUUCACUAGAGAGUCAAACAAGAGCCUAAAGAAACUGGAUGCGGGGGGGG